GACGUAGGGGGCCAGCGUUGUUCGGAAUUACUGGGUGUACAGGGUUCGUAGGCGGUGUGGCAAGUUGGGAGUGAAAUCUCUGGGCUCAACCCAGAGGCUGCUUUCAAAACUGCCGCGCUCGAGUGCGAGAGAGGUCAGUGGAAUUGCAGGUGUAGCGGUGAAAUGCGUAGAUAUCUGCAGGAACACCCGUGGCGAAGGCGGCGGACUGGAUCGCAACUGACGCUGAGGAACGAAAGCUAGGGGAGCAAACAGG
This 253-nucleotide ribosomal RNA is filed under the name uncultured bacterium. RNAcentral describes it as "partial 16S ribosomal RNA". It matches the Rfam family "Bacterial small subunit ribosomal RNA", at positions 524 to 776 of the family's 1533-position model. The record is from RNAcentral.